UGAGGAAUAUUGGUCAAUGGGCGAGAGCCUGAACCAGCCAAGUCGCGUGAAGGAAGACAGUCCUAAGGAUUGUAAACUUCUUUUAUACGGGAAUAACGGGCGAUACGAGUAUUGCAUUGAAUGUAACGUAAGAAUAAGCAUCGGCUAACUCCGUGCCAGCAGCCGCGGUAAUACGGAGGAUGCGAGCGUUAUCCGGAUUUAUUGGGUUUAAAGGGUGCGUAGGUUGUUCGGUAAGGCAGCGGUGAAACCUGAGCGCUCAACGUUCAGCCUGCCGUUGAAACUGCCGGGCUUGAGUUCAGUGGCGGCAGGCGGAAUGCGUUGUGUAGCGAUGAAAUGCAUAGAUAUCACGAGGAACUCCGAUUGCGAAGGCAGCUUGCCAUACGGCGACUGACACUGAAGCACGAAGGCGUGGGUAUCAAACAGG
Molecule: ribosomal RNA, 424 nt
Filed under: Fusobacteriota bacterium
Lineage: Bacteria; Fusobacteriati; Fusobacteriota
Description: Fusobacteria bacterium partial 16S ribosomal RNA
Rfam family: Bacterial small subunit ribosomal RNA
Source: RNAcentral